Molecule: ribosomal RNA, 455 nt
Filed under: uncultured organism
Description: bacterial SSU rRNA
Rfam family: Bacterial small subunit ribosomal RNA
Source: RNAcentral
GUGCAGCAGUCGAGAAUUUUUCUCAAUGGGGGCAACCCUGAAGGAGCGACGCCGCGUGGAGGAUGAAGGCUUUCGGGUUGUAAACUCCUGUCAUUUGAGAACAAGUGUGAGCACAUAACUACUGCUCAUUUGAUAGUAUCAGAAGAGGAAGGGACGGCUAACUCUGUGCCAGCAGCCGCGGUAAUACAGAGGUCCCAAGCGUUGUUCGGAUUCAUUGGGCGUAAAGGGUGCGUAGGUGGCGUGGUAAGUCGGGUGUGAAAUUUCGGAGCUUAACUCCGAAACUGCAUUCGAUACUGCCGUGCUUGAGGACUGGAGAGGAGACUGGAAUUUACGGUGUAGCAGUGAAAUGCGUAGAGAUCGUAAGGAAGACCAGUGGCGAAGGCGGGUCUCUGGACAGUUCCUGACACUGAGGCACGAAGGCUAGGGGAGCAAACGGGAUUAGAUACCCCUGUAGU